RNAcentral lists this transfer RNA (89 nucleotides) under Saltatorellus ferox. RNAcentral's name for it is "Planctomycetes bacterium Poly30 tRNA-Arg". The record is from RNAcentral. Lineage: Bacteria; Pseudomonadati; Planctomycetota; Planctomycetia.
GAUCGAGUUGGUCUGGGUGUUGGCGAGCCAGAUCUCGUUUCGAACGGGAUGCAGCGCCAUGCCGGCAGGUCCGCCGCCCGCUUCGAUCG